RNAcentral lists this ribosomal RNA (254 nucleotides) under uncultured bacterium. Its description in RNAcentral is "partial 16S ribosomal RNA". It matches the Rfam family "Bacterial small subunit ribosomal RNA", at positions 524 to 776 of the family's 1533-position model. The record is from RNAcentral.
UACGUAGGCAGCGAGCGUUGUUCGGAAUUACUGGGCGUAAAGAGUGUGUAGGCGGUGCUCUAAGUUCGGUGUGAAAUCUCCUGGCUCAACUGGGAGGGUGCGCCGGAAACUGGAGUGCUUGAGCGUGGGAGAGGAAAGCGGAAUUCCUGGUGUAGCGGUGGAAAUGCGUAGAUAUCAGGAGGAACACCGGUGGCGAAGGCGGUUCUCUGGGCAUUACCUGACGCUGAGGAGCGAAAGUGUGGGGAGCGAACAGG